GCGCGUAUGAAUGAAUGUGAUCCGGGGUCAAGCGGUCAGCAUCUACGGCACCACGUGCCGACGAUCUAGUGGCCCGUUUCACCCAAUGUGUUGUGUAGAAAGACGGCGUGGGCCGUCAAAUCGGUGUGCGCAGGAUGCUCGACUGCUGGUGAUGCAUCACUCUUGGAACUCCACGUGCUCAUGGGCUCGGUCCGACGUUAGCUAGAUUGUGUAGGUGGCAAUGUCGAUACACGUGUAAGACCAAGAAUCUGCCUCAAUCAGCAACCUAGGACCAAUAUUGGGUCUACAACCAUACAUGCACAUCUGACGACGAUUUAGUCUUUGCACGAGGGGAGAUCAUAUAAGUGGUCAGAAUAAAUUUGAAGCAAAGUUGCUGAUGACUAACUGUGUCGAGAUUUAUUCUAAGCUUGUGAUCUUAUUUCUUAUUAAUAAAAUAAACAUGUGAUUCUAUCAAACGUAUUUAUCUUGCUUAUUGCCAAUCACUUUCAGUAGCAAUUCCUAGGACUUCGUCGCAGUGCUCACGUAAGUUUACCAUUCAGAUAGGGAUGCUCUCUCUC
This 557-nucleotide long non-coding RNA is filed under the name Spirodela polyrhiza (greater duckweed). RNAcentral describes it as "long non-coding RNA (SPOL_LNC002166)". Lineage: Eukaryota; Viridiplantae; Streptophyta; Magnoliopsida; Alismatales; Araceae. The record is from RNAcentral.